RNAcentral lists this long non-coding RNA (479 nucleotides) under Sinocyclocheilus anshuiensis. RNAcentral describes it as "lncRNA (ENSSANG00000023908.1)". Lineage: Eukaryota; Metazoa; Chordata; Actinopteri; Cypriniformes; Cyprinidae. The record is from RNAcentral.
GGAAUUCUCCUCAUCUUCACUGUUGCUGGGUCACUUUACAUAUUAAAGAGCUACAAGGAACACCCUCCUUGUAGAGAUGACAAAAAUGAAGUUGUAGAGCAGAGAUCAGGGGAGAGUGAUGGAGUGAUUUUGGAUGAAGAUGCUGCAUCUGCAUCACUCUACACAACUCUACAAUGCAGAUCAGACUCUAUUUAUGAUACACUGCAUUCAGACACGAUGCAUGUAGAAAACACAAAGACGACAAAAUCAGAAAAGCACUGCAAUGCACAAGAAGAUGGUGUAUUUGAUUCUGUUUAUGAAAACCUGUGAAUGAAGGAAUGAUUGAGUUAAUGAAUGUGAUUUAUGAAUACCUGCUGGAAUGUGCUUAAGUGUCAAAUAAAGAUUUUUUUGUAUAAUUUAUUAUUUUAUGGGCCAGUAUGACAGAAAAUAAAUAAAAGAUCAAAACAACUGAAUAUGUGUCGUUUUUCUCCAAAACUCAU